UCAAACUUGGUCAUUUAGAGGAAGUAAAAGUCGUAACAAGGUUUCCGUAGGUGAACCUGCGGAAGGAUCAUUAACGUGCAAGCUGCCCGCCCCUGCGGCUGGGCCUUGACGCCCCCUGUCUACCUUCUGGUUGCUUCGGCGAGGCCACUGGCUUCGGGCUGGUCCACUGCCCUGGGUGGUGCCGUCCUCGCCGACAGACCCUCCAACGCUGGCUGUUGAGAUGUUGUCCGAGCCUAAAUCAAUCAUGCAAAACUUUCAACGAUGGAUCUCUUGGUUCCAGGAUCGAUGAAGAACGCAGC
RNAcentral lists this unclassified non-coding RNA (299 nucleotides) under uncultured fungus. RNAcentral's name for it is "partial contains small subunit ribosomal RNA, internal transcribed spacer 1, and 5.8S ribosomal RNA". The stretch from base 1 to 73 matches the Rfam family "Eukaryotic small subunit ribosomal RNA", at positions 1759 to 1831 of the family's 1831-position model. The record is from RNAcentral. Lineage: Eukaryota; Fungi.